GACGAACGCUGGCGGCGUGCCUAAUACAUGCAAGUAGAACGCUGAAGGAGGAGCUUGCUUCUCUGGAUGAGUUGCGAACGGGUGAGUAACGCGUAGGUAACCUGCCUGGUAGCGGGGGAUAACUAUUGGAAACGAUAGCUAAUACCGCAUAACAGUAGAUGUUGCAUGACAUUUGCUUAAAAGGUGCAAUUGCAUCACUACCAGAUGGACCUGCGUUGUAUUAGCUAGUUGGUGGGGUAACGGCUCACCAAGGCGACGAUACAUAGCCGACCUGAGAGGGUGAUCGGCCACACUGGGACUGAGACACGGCCCAGACUCCUACGGGAGGCAGCAGUAGGGAAUCUUCGGCAAUGGACGGAAGUCUGACCGAGCAACGCCGCGUGAGUGAAGAAGGUUUUCGGAUCGUAAAGCUCUGUUGUAAGAGAAGAACGAGUGUGAGAGUGGAAAGUUCACACUGUGACGGUAUCUACCAGAAAGGACG
RNAcentral lists this ribosomal RNA (481 nucleotides) under Streptococcus mitis. RNAcentral describes it as "bacterial SSU rRNA". It matches the Rfam family "Bacterial small subunit ribosomal RNA", at positions 28 to 494 of the family's 1533-position model. The record is from RNAcentral. Lineage: Bacteria; Bacillati; Bacillota; Bacilli; Lactobacillales; Streptococcaceae.